GAUGAACGCUGGCGGCGUGCCUAAUACAUGCAAGUCGAGCGAACAGACGAGGAGCUUGCUCCUCUGACGUUAGCGGCGGACGGGUGAGUAACACGUGGAUAACCUACCUAUUAGACUGGGAUAACUUCGGGAAACCGGAGCUAAUACCGGAUAAUAUAUUGAACCGCAUGGUUCAAUAGUGAAAGACGGUUUUGCUGUCACUUAUAGAUGGAUCCGCGCCGCAUUAGCUAGUUGGUAAGGUAACGGCUUACCAAGGCGACGAUGCGUAGCCGACCUGAGAGGGUGAUCGACCACACUGGAACUGAGACACGGUCCAGACUCCUACGGGAGGCAGCAGUAGGGAAUCUUCCGCAAUGGGCGAAAGCCUGACGGAGCAACGCCGCGUGAGUGAUGAAGGUCUUCGGAUCGUAAAACUCUGUUAUUAGGGAAGAACAAAUGUGUAAGUAACUAUGCACGUCUUGACGGUACCUAAUCAGAAAGCCACGGCUAACUACGUG
Molecule: ribosomal RNA, 497 nt
Filed under: uncultured bacterium
Lineage: Bacteria
Description: partial 16S ribosomal RNA
Rfam family: Bacterial small subunit ribosomal RNA
Source: RNAcentral